GCCCUUUAAUCUGUAAUUUAUUAAUCAUUAAACAUUAUUACAUUAUUCAUACUGGUGAACAAAGACCACUUCUACAGAGGGACGUUCACAACAUACAUAUUACAUUUUUAUAUACAGUGCAGUGCAUUACAGUGGAUCGUUAUAUGUGUAUUACCGGGAUGAAGGGAUGGGGGAGACUGGAAGGGGAGGAGAAGUUAGAGGAAAAAGGGAGGAGUGGUUUGAGGGAGGGGGGGGUUGUGAUAGUAAGUAGUCUUUUUUUUAUUACUUCUUCUUUUUUUAACCACAGUACAGUUUGUUCUAUAAAAGUUAAACCCAUAGAGAGAGAGAGAGAGAGAGAGUAAGAGAGUAAGAGAGAGAGAGAGAGAGUGCCACAUUUUCACAGCUACUGUAAGGUGAACCUACUGGACUCUUGUGGGAAUAUCAAAUGAGAUACAUUUUGUCAUGAGAUGCUAUAGAGAGAUGCUAUAAAACAUUCUAAGAUAGUCAACCUCCUCCCGGAGUGUGGAGACCCUGGAGGGCAGGCCAAAGGUCAAAGAUCAGAUCAGCGUGCAUGCGUGCUGCAGACAUUCAGACGUGUUCAGCCAUCUACAAAAAUGGCCGACCCCCACCGCUUUUCCUCCUUCUAUGUUUAGGCAUCAUUUUUGGUGCUUUCCCUUUUUAUAUAUAAAAAAUACAAAACAUAACAGCGAAAAGAAUUCAGUUGGUUGUCCCAUUUUUCUCCUUUUU
Molecule: non-coding RNA, 726 nt
Organism: Xyrichtys novacula (pearly razorfish)
Lineage: Eukaryota; Metazoa; Chordata; Actinopteri; Labriformes; Labridae
Source: the annotation of a GenBank genome assembly